Molecule: ribosomal RNA, 418 nt
Filed under: Drosophila baimaii
Lineage: Eukaryota; Metazoa; Arthropoda; Insecta; Diptera; Drosophilidae
Description: partial 12S ribosomal RNA
Source: RNAcentral
AUACUAAAGUAGUAAUAGUUAUGUUCUUGAAACUUAAAAAAUUUGGCGGUAUUUUAGUCUAUCCAGAGGAACCUGUUUUAUAAUCGAUAAUCCACGAUGGACCUUACUUAAGUUUGUAAUCAGUUUAUAUACCGUCGUUAUCAGAAUAUUUUAUAAGAAUAAUAAUAUUCAAUAAUUUCAAUAAAAAUUUAUAUCAGAUCAAGGUGUAGCUUAUAUUUAAGUAAUAAUGGGUUACAAUAAAAAUAUUUAUACGAAUAAAAUUAUGAAAAAAUUUUUGAAGGUGGAUUUGGUAGUAAAAUUAUAUAGAUAAAUAAUUUGAUUUUAGCUCUAAAAUAUGUACACAUCGCCCGUCGCUCUUAUUAUUAAGGUAAGAUAAGUCGUAACAUAGUAGAUGUACUGGAAAGUGUAUCUAGAAUGA